UGAACUGGUGAGAGAGUGCCAAAGUCAGAC
This 30-nucleotide non-coding RNA is filed under the name Rattus norvegicus (Norway rat). Lineage: Eukaryota; Metazoa; Chordata; Mammalia; Rodentia; Muridae. The record is from RNAcentral.